AUGUGAUUUUUGUUCUUUGGAUGUGUUUUGCAGUGUUCUUCACGAAGUGGUCAACAGAGCAGACGAUGGUGGAAUCACACCUCUUCAUAAUGAAUGUAGAGAUUCUCUAAUUGAAAAAAUUAAUUCUGUAGUUUUGUUUUCACUUUGGCGCUUUGGUUAUACAUUGUAGGUGCUGGGGGUACACAACUCUCCAUUAUGCUUCAUGUGAUGGAAACACGUAGUGUUUUGUUUCAUUUGGAUCAUAUAUGAAUUCAUUUGGCAUUUGUUUUCACAGCUAUUGAUCGAUAAGGGGGCCUGUUUUAGCUGCCAUGAACUCCAACGAGUUUGUUCUUCUCUCUAUUUCUCCGCCUGUAAGAUGGCUGCAAGAUAGGAAGCCAAAAACACAUUUGCUUUGAAGUCCCAGAUUGAAUAGCUACAACAAGAGAGGGAUGGAUUUCAAAGGAUGGUGAUUGAAAACCAGUUACUAUAAGGUGAUCUGCUGAUGGUAUGAGUGGAGAUCUACUAGGGCUGCUUCGGUUUCUUUAUUACUUGGUUUGGUGAAGAAAUGUACCUUGUUUUUCUUUAUGACUUGGUUGGUGAUUCAAGCAUUUGUAUCUUUUGGGAAUUUGAUAGAAUGAUUCUAUGUAAAAUGUAUGUUUUAUAAAUUUAAUGUAGUAUUAAUUUUAUUUAUGAA
This is a non-coding RNA of Camelina sativa (false flax), 673 nucleotides long. Lineage: Eukaryota; Viridiplantae; Streptophyta; Magnoliopsida; Brassicales; Brassicaceae. The record is from RefSeq and is a predicted model, not a curated record.